RNAcentral lists this long non-coding RNA (5397 nucleotides) under Bos grunniens (domestic yak). RNAcentral describes it as "lncRNA (ENSBGRG00000026916.1)". Lineage: Eukaryota; Metazoa; Chordata; Mammalia; Artiodactyla; Bovidae. The record is from RNAcentral.
AUGCCUCCAGAGACCCCUGUGUCUGGGACAAGUACUUGGAGGGCAGCAGAUCCCUGUCCGGUCCCUGACAGCUGCCCAGGCUUGGUGGGGGCAGAGUGGGGGUGCCUCUCUCAGAGCAGGCCCCCAACCACACCUGCUGGACAGUGGGAGGGGAGCCACGCCAUCCACAGGGAGACAGGUCCUGCACAUGGCGCAGGGACCACCUUGCCCACAGCCCCACCCACCCCACCACUCCCCUUGUCCCACCAGGCCCUGGCCCCGCACUUCCAUCCACCAGGGACACCCUGCCCAGGUCCUUGCCCUCAGUCUCAGCCCCUCCCAUCGAUGCCCCCUGCCCAGCAGGCUGCCUCCCUCUGUCUGGCACACACCUACUGUGGGCUGCGGAACAAACCAGCAGCUGACAAGGGGUGCUAGCUGGGGGUUGGGGUUGCAGUGGGUGGAAUCGGCUCAGAGUCGCACUUGAGAAACACCGUCCUGGGACUUGGUGGUGGACACCUUGUGGGAUCGGCCAGGUCUGCAGCACUGGGUGCCCCUGCCCGGCUCGCCAUGCCUCGGUCAGCCUCGGGCCAGCCUCCAUGUCCCUGGAAGCACGAUGGGGUGUCCAGGCCCUGCCAUAGGCUGUGAUUGGCAGGGGAGGGGGUGAGCCUGGUGCUCUGCAUGGUCACGUGCCCAUGGGUGCUGAGGCUCACAACAUCAGGGACCCCUCAGCUCUAGUCUUAGGGGCAGGACAUGAGUGAACCUGCCCUCCUGGGUGCUGAGUCCACGGCAGGGCUGCGAGCCCCAGUGUGUGGACAGUGGCAGCCUGGCCAGCAGGUGGCAGCAUUCGCCAGCUCAGCGGGGCCAGGGCAGCUCAGGUACCACAUGCACACAUCACAGGUACACCUCGUCACCACGGGCUGAGAUACGCUCACAGCACACACGGGUGCACUGUUCCCAGGCUCACACAACCACAGACAGCCACACAUACAACCACACACACACACACACACACAAGCACCCACACACACACAACCAUACACAAGCACCCACACACAGCCACACACACAGCCACACACACACACACAACCACACACACAACCAGAGACAGCCACACAUACAACCACACACCCACAACCACACACAACCAUACACAAGCACCCACACACACAGCCACACACACACAACCACAGACAGCCACACACACAGCCACAUACAUACAUAUAACCACACACACCACACACACAAGCACCCACACACACAACCACACACCUGACUGAUUCUGGGCACAUCUGUGGGAACUGGCCCGAGCGAGGGAUCCAGGGUGGGCAUCCUGAAGGGCCCCGUGUGGGCUGUGAGAGCGGGCCGGACAGAGUGGGAGAGGAUUUGGUAGGCACAGACCCUGUUCAGGGGCCACGGCUCCCUGAGGACCCGAGGAGGCAGAGCCCGGCCCCCACAGGCCCACAGGCCCUUCUGCCUGGACCUCAACGGCCUGGCUCACCCCCUCUAGGAAGCCAGAGUGUCCCUCACCCUGAGACUACUGCACCCCCAGAGCUGCCAGGCAGGGGGCAAGGAGCAGGGGAGCCUGAGGGUCAGCAGCAAGGUCACGUGAAUGCUGUAUCUGACAACUGCACUCCACCAGGUCCCGAAGCCUGACCCCAGUGAUCCCUUGGCCCCACCAGUCUGGACAUGGGGCCGGAGAGAAGAUGGUGCCUGGGACCAGGUGAGGAGGGGCAGGUGGCGGGGACAGGCUGGGGAACACGCAGGAGUCUGCCUGGGCAUGGGGGAUAGGGCUGCAGGAGGGAAAGAGCUGGCGGUGGAGCAUGCAGCGGGCCCCAUCCCUGGGCCCCAUCCCCAGACCCCGUGAAGGGGGAGGCUUGCCUGGGCGGCCAGAGGGCAUAUCCACUGGGAAUGGCUGGAGAACGUCCUUAGGAUGGGCUUGCCUAGGCUUCGGGGCCACAGACGGCUCAGAGAACCCAGCCUCCCAGGGAGAGGGUGUAGAAGGCCAUGCUCAUACAGACAGAAGAAUCCGUACAUCCGGGGUCCCACAGAGAGGGCCAUCAGGGAUGGGCCGGGUCUGUGUCACCGGGAUCCCUCCAAGCACCACCAUGGGGGGACAGGACCUGGAGGCCGUGGGUCCUGUCCGUGUCACCUGAAAAUGUGCUGCGGUGGGCUCUGGUCUUGAGCCUGAGGCUGCACCCCGUGAGACCCCAUUUCUCUGCCUGUCUGGUGGGUGGCCAGCGGGUCCACUGCUGUGGCUGCAAGACCACUGCCCAGAAGCAGCCAUGCCAAGCCUUCCCUCCUGGGCCUGGGCACCCAAGGCCACAGCCCCUUCCCACAGGCCAAUGUGUGCCUCCCUGACCAGAUGGCCUGGCCUUGUGGGCUGCAGCUCAAGGCCACCGGCCUCCUCCGUGGAGCCCCUGGCCGAGAGAGGAUGCAGACAGGGCCCUCCCUAGGUUUAGCUGGGCCUGAACACACCUCGGUCUCAGCUAUGAGAGACUCAGGCACACUGCUGGGCCCAGGCAGGAGGGCAAGUGCCAGGGGUCUCACCGUCCCCUCUGAGCGCAGCGGUCACCAGAAACCCGUCCAGCCCUGACUCUCGGGCUCCCUCCGAGGGCUAAGUGCUGGGGCUUACUGGCUCUGGCCAGAGCCUCUCCCCACGCCGUCCACUUGGCUCCCUCCCUCUCCUCCUUCGGGGCUUUACUCAGAUGGCACCUCCUAUCUGCGGCCUUCCUAACCACCUGCUAAGAUGACAGCUGCACCCCAGUGCCCAGGCCCGAGGCCGCAUGUUUGCCCUGGGGUGCCCACGGCCCACUCACUGAUCCUGGCUGCUGCCCGGCCGCUGGACUCUGUGUGCUGUCCACGGUUGUACCGCCAGUGCUGGAGUGGGAGGAAGCGGGAGGGAGAAGGAAGGGGCGGACGGGGAAGUGUGAGCUUCCUGAACCCUACUCUCUUCCUUCGGAAAUGUCCAGAUAACAUUUCCUGUCUGCACAGGCUGGUAAAUAGGCCACACCUGGGCAGCUGCAUGAAGGGGUGGGUCACUAACCCCUCAGGACAGUGUCCAGGCAGAACCCAUGUGUCCCGGGACCUCAGAGGGUAUGGCUUGUUAGAGAUGCUGUUUCAGAGAGUCUCACUGAGCCCAGAGGGGACCAGCUGAGUCCCGCCCUCUGCUCCCCUCAGACAGGGAACACCUGAGCCCAUCCCCCAGGCCAGAGCCAGCCCAGCCCCCCGCAGCAGCCUGCCCCCGACACCUCAGGGUGGCAUCCAGCUGUCCCUUGCGUUGCCCGGCUCCUCCCCUGCCCGUCCUGCAGGCCGCCUCUGAUCCCUAGCUUAAUUUAUUUUGACAUCCUCGCUGCUGUGUGACCUCCUUGUGGUAUCACGUGUUGCUUAAAACUCAUUAUCCCCCCCUUGAAACAAGAAGUUAAUUAAACCCUUCACAGAGCCAGUGUUGACAAGUGUUGGCGUGGGCCCCUGGCAUGACUGCCCAGGGCUCCAGGGCCUGGGGCUGACGGGCGGUGGGGGAGCAAAUCCUGGGCCCCCUUCCCCACAGGGCAGCCACCAGGGGCCAUGCUGGAGCAGCAGCUGUGGAUCUCCAAGGGAGGCUCUGCUGCUCACCUGCUGUGUGGCAGGUGGGGUGGGGGUGACUUCACUUCUCUGAGCCUCAGUUUCCUUGUCUGGCAAAUAGGAAUUCUAAGAGUCCCUUCUUCAGACAGUGCUUGGCGCAAGGCCUGGCACUGAGGAACCCUCUGCAGCUCUCUGCCCUCACCCCACAUGUGAGGCAACAGAGUGCUGAGAACUGCAGAAAAGGCACCCUGGGCCCUGCAGGCUGGACCAGAGAGGGGCCGGAAGCAAUCAGGGCCUCCCCGAGGGAGGGAAAGUGGGUGGGCAGUGGGAGGGAAGGGUGCGUCUAGUGGCAGGAACAGCGUGUGGGGCCGCAGGACACCUGGACCUGUUCAGGGAGGUUCAGAGGAGGACUAAGAGGGGAGGGCUGAGAUUAUUGCAGUUGCUUUGGGGAGGUCCCACUGGCUUCACCCUGCAGUGGGGCAGGGGUGGCUGUGGGGCCAGCAGCAGUCAGGCUGGUGGGUGAGGGAGGCUUGGAGCUGGGUGGGGAUGAUGGCAGAGUCCCCAAGGGGCCUCUUAGGGCUAUAAGGAGGUGCGAUCAGGGACACUGGUGGGGACAGUGAGGCAGAAAGAGGACUUCCAGUGCAGCGUGGCAGGCAGAGCCCCUCACCUGGCCUGGGCUAGGGACACACUCCUCCCAGCCUGUCCAGCCCUUCUGAGCCUUUGCCCCUGCUCCUCCCUAAGCUGAGAAUGCCUUUCUCCCACCACUCUUUCCUGAGUCAUCUUCAUCCUUCAGUGUCCAGCUUAAGUUUCUAGAGCAUUCUGUGGCUCCCUUGGUCAUCACCUAACAACCAGUACAGAGCCUGCUAUGUGGGAAGUGCCACAAUCAGCCCUCUCCCCACCCACAGCCACUGCCCGCUCCCAGGCAGUCCCCCUGGGACAGGGCAGCACAGAGCAAGCCCAUCAGCAGGCCCCCAGACCGCCAGCGCACAAAGCAGAGGUGGAGCAGACGUGAGCCUGGAGCCACAGCAGCAUCGAGACUAGAGGGUCCUGCCCACCCCACUGACAGAUGAGGAAACCAAGAGCCUGACAGCUUAAGGACUUGCUCAGGGUCAUGGCCUCCUAUGUGGCAGAGCCAAGAUUUGAACUUUGUUCUCCCAGGGCCCAGCCAGGGUUAAGAACGUGAGCUCUGCCCUGCGACUGCCCGGGAUACAGGAAUCAUGACCAUUUCUGAGCUGUAGGGUCACUCUGAGCCUCAAUGUCAUUAUCACCAUGACAGCCUUGAUGCUGUAUCCUAGGCCCAGCCCUGCCACUUCCUGCCAAGGGGACCACCAGAUGGUUGCUAGGACAGGAUGCCAUGAGAGACCAUGAACCGGCCCCAAAAAGGACCAGGGAAAGGUUAGUGAUGCUGAUAAUGAUAUGGCCCUAGUGUGGGCACCCAGAGCUGUCCCCAAGAGCCUUUCCUGGGCCCAGAUACCCUUGGAACCUUCUCCAGGGCCUACAGGCUAUUAUUAGGGCUUGAAAUCCAGCAAAGCAGGAAACAGCCAGGCUGUGGUCGGGGCAGCUGAGCUCCACGCCGAGCCCUUCCCAGCUCCAGGGAAGGGUGUUGCGAACAUCCAGGUGGACCUCCACCAGUGAUGUUUGGAUGUGAAUCGUGACACUCCCAACAAGGAAUGCAGGUGGCCGGUAGGAUCCCGAGGCAGCCCCUCUCCACUCUGAUCAGGGACUCCUGCUGAACCCCACAGAGAUGACGCCUCCUCCAGUCAGCCUUCUUUGACUUCCCCAGGCAAAGGUGGUGACUUCUGCUCUGUGCUAAGCCAGGCCUUCCUUUCUUCAGCAUUCCUUGCUCCUCUUUCCUCA